RNAcentral lists this ribosomal RNA (253 nucleotides) under uncultured bacterium. Its description in RNAcentral is "partial 16S ribosomal RNA". It matches the Rfam family "Bacterial small subunit ribosomal RNA", at positions 524 to 776 of the family's 1533-position model. The record is from RNAcentral.
UACGUAAGUGGCGAGCGUUAUCCGGAAUUACUGGGCGUAAAGCGUGCGCAGGCGGUUAUGUAAGACCGGUGUGAAAUCCCCGGGCUUAACCUGGGAACUGCAUUUGUGACUGCAUAGCUAGAGUACGGUAGAGGGGGAUGGAAUUCCGCGUGUAGCAGUGAAAUGCGUAGAUAUGCGGAGGAACACCGAUGGCGAAGGCAAUCCCCUGGACCUGUACUGACGCUCAUGCACGAAAGCGUGGGGAGCAAACAGG